CCCUUAGAUGUUCUGGGCCGCACGCGCGCUACACUGUUCGACGCAGCGAGUCUUAACCUUGACCGAAAGGUUUGGGUAAUCUUCAGCAAAGUCGAACGUGAUGGGGAUCGAUCAUUGCAAUUAUUGAUCGUGAACGAGGAAUUCCUAGUAAGUGCAAGUCAUCAGCUUGCGCUGAUUACGUCCCUGCCCUUUGUACACACCGCCCGUCGCUACUACCGAUUGAAUGGUUUAGUGAGAUCUCUGGAUUGACGCUGGCUAGGGGGCGACCCUUGGCCAGGCUGUCGAGAAACUGCUCAAACUUAAUCAUUUAGAGGAAGUAAAAGUCGUAACA
RNAcentral lists this ribosomal RNA (331 nucleotides) under uncultured eukaryote. RNAcentral describes it as "partial 18S ribosomal RNA". It matches the Rfam family "Eukaryotic small subunit ribosomal RNA", at positions 1470 to 1796 of the family's 1831-position model. The record is from RNAcentral.